CCCCACACCAAAUCUAAGAGAUGAAAAACAUUAGUUACAAAAAUCAGUCCAAAAUUGUGGAUUUUGUGGUAGUGAAACAGAUUUUGCCAUUUUAAAUAGUGCUCAGAACACUGCAUGUGUAGGGUCUUUUUAAAAAUUAUUUUGCUAUAUUAACACUUCCUCUGAAACCACAUUCUGAAUGUGCUCCAUCUGAUAACUGUGCAAUGCAGAAAUUAUACACUUGGAAAACUCAUUAUAAGAUGACAGCAUUAUGUUAAUGUGUACUAAAAAUUACUACAAGUUGUAACUUCAAAUUUCCCUGCCUCCCCCCUCCAAAAAGAAAAAAACAAAAAAGGAAAAAAAAAUCAGCAUGCACUUCUGCAUUAAGCAUCUUUUGGCUUUUUUUUUUUUUUUUGCCAAGAAGUAUGAUUUAAUAAGAUAAUACAUUGUUGACUCACCACAGCAUGUGCUAUGUGUCAUCUAUAGGAAAUAGUUCAAAGGCAUCAACUUCAUGCAUAGGUUGCCAUAGCUGAUAUUUGAGUCUGGCCUGCUGUUGGUACAGGUUUCUAAUACUAGCCCUAAGCACAAAAAAAGAGAAAGAAAUAUUUGGGGUUUAUUUCUCAAGUCUGAUUGACACAGAAGUUUUCAGAAAACUAAAUUAACCUGGAAUAUCAAUAUCUGCACAUUAUAUAACAAAGAAUUUAGAUUUUCCUCUGAUAAUACCAUAAUGCAUCCCAUUCAGGCAGUAUCUGUACCAUAAAUUUCCUUUCUUCCACUCAAAGAAGAAAGGCAGGAGACAGAAAAAAAUGCAGAAUAAAGUGCUGUUUAAAUGGGAGAAGUGUGUCACAGUUAUUCCCCCAUCAGUAAAAAAAAGGAAAAAAAAAAAAAAAAAAAAAAAGAUGGGCAGUUGGUUUCAAGGUAAAUCACCGUUUUCCUUUAAAGAACUGAAUAAAAGCCUGGGGAAGAGGGUAGAAGAGAACAGAAAAAGGGGAGGCAAAAUGUCUGAUAAUAAUGAAAUAAAAGGGGAGGGGGGGAAGAGUGGCUUGCUGAAUCACGCUCUUUCACUGCCUGGAAACCAUUGUGCAGCGUGA
This 1070-nucleotide long non-coding RNA is filed under the name Zonotrichia albicollis (white-throated sparrow). RNAcentral's name for it is "lncRNA (ENSZALG00000016698.1)". The record is from RNAcentral. Lineage: Eukaryota; Metazoa; Chordata; Aves; Passeriformes; Passerellidae.